Molecule: ribosomal RNA, 421 nt
Filed under: uncultured Clostridium sp.
Lineage: Bacteria; Bacillati; Bacillota; Clostridia; Eubacteriales; Clostridiaceae
Description: bacterial SSU rRNA
Rfam family: Bacterial small subunit ribosomal RNA
Source: RNAcentral
UGGGGAAUAUUGCACAAUGGGGGAAACCCUGAUGCAGCGACGCCGCGUGAGUGAAGAAGUAUUUCGGUAUGUAAAGCUCUAUCAGCAGGGAAGAGAUUGACGGUACCUGACUAAGAAGCCCCGGCUAACUACGUGCCAGCAGCCGCGGUAAUACGUAGGGGGCAAGCGUUAUCCGGAUUUACUGGGUGUAAAGGGUGCGCAGGCGGCGCGCCAAGUCAGCGGUCAAAGUUCCGGGCUCAACCCGGUGUCGCCGUUGAAACUGGCGUGCUCGAGUGCGUGCGAGGAAGGCGGAAUGCGUUGUGUAGCGGUGAAAUGCAUAGAUAUGACGCAGAACUCCGAUUGCGAAGGCAGCUUUCCAGCGCGCUACUGACGCUGAGGCACGAAAGCGUGGGGAUCGAACAGGAUUAGAUACCCUGGUAGU